This 1532-nucleotide ribosomal RNA is filed under the name Klebsiella sp. J-1. Its description in RNAcentral is "bacterial SSU rRNA". It matches the Rfam family "Bacterial small subunit ribosomal RNA". The record is from RNAcentral. Lineage: Bacteria; Pseudomonadati; Pseudomonadota; Gammaproteobacteria; Enterobacterales; Enterobacteriaceae.
AGAGUUUGAUCCUGGCUCAGAUUGAACGCUGGCGGCAGGCCUAACACAUGCAAGUCGAGCGGUAGCACAGAGAGCUUGCUCUCGGGUGACGAGCGGCGGACGGGUGAGUAAUGUCUGGGAAACUGCCUGAUGGAGGGGGAUAACUACUGGAAACGGUAGCUAAUACCGCAUAACGUCGCAAGACCAAAGUGGGGGACCUUCGGGCCUCAUGCCAUCAGAUGUGCCCAGAUGGGAUUAGCUAGUAGGUGGGGUAACGGCUCACCUAGGCGACGAUCCCUAGCUGGUCUGAGAGGAUGACCAGCCACACUGGAACUGAGACACGGUCCAGACUCCUACGGGAGGCAGCAGUGGGGAAUAUUGCACAAUGGGCGCAAGCCUGAUGCAGCCAUGCCGCGUGUGUGAAGAAGGCCUUCGGGUUGUAAAGCACUUUCAGCGGGGAGGAAGGCGGUGAGGUUAAUAACCUCAUCGAUUGACGUUACCCGCAGAAGAAGCACCGGCUAACUCCGUGCCAGCAGCCGCGGUAAUACGGAGGGUGCAAGCGUUAAUCGGAAUUACUGGGCGUAAAGCGCACGCAGGCGGUCUGUCAAGUCGGAUGUGAAAUCCCCGGGCUCAACCUGGGAACUGCAUUCGAAACUGGCAGGCUAGAGUCUUGUAGAGGGGGGUAGAAUUCCAGGUGUAGCGGUGAAAUGCGUAGAGAUCUGGAGGAAUACCGGUGGCGAAGGCGGCCCCCUGGACAAAGACUGACGCUCAGGUGCGAAAGCGUGGGGAGCAAACAGGAUUAGAUACCCUGGUAGUCCACGCCGUAAACGAUGUCGAUUUGGAGGUUGUGCCCUUGAGGCGUGGCUUCCGGAGCUAACGCGUUAAAUCGACCGCCUGGGGAGUACGGCCGCAAGGUUAAAACUCAAAUGAAUUGACGGGGGCCCGCACAAGCGGUGGAGCAUGUGGUUUAAUUCGAUGCAACGCGAAGAACCUUACCUGGUCUUGACAUCCACAGAACUUUCCAGAGAUGGAUUGGUGCCUUCGGGAACUGUGAGACAGGUGCUGCAUGGCUGUCGUCAGCUCGUGUUGUGAAAUGUUGGGUUAAGUCCCGCAACGAGCGCAACCCUUAUCCUUUGUUGCCAGCGGUUAGGCCGGGAACUCAAAGGAGACUGCCAGUGAUAAACUGGAGGAAGGUGGGGAUGACGUCAAGUCAUCAUGGCCCUUACGACCAGGGCUACACACGUGCUACAAUGGCAUAUACAAAGAGAAGCGACCUCGCGAGAGCAAGCGGACCUCAUAAAGUAUGUCGUAGUCCGGAUUGGAGUCUGCAACUCGACUCCAUGAAGUCGGAAUCGCUAGUAAUCGUAGAUCAGAAUGCUACGGUGAAUACGUUCCCGGGCCUUGUACACACCGCCCGUCACACCAUGGGAGUGGGUUGCAAAAGAAGUAGGUAGCUUAACCUUCGGGAGGGCGCUUACCACUUUGUGAUUCAUGACUGGGGUGAAGUCGUAACAAGGUAACCGUAGGGGAACCUGCGGCUGGAUCACCUCCUU